Molecule: signal recognition particle RNA, 236 nt
Filed under: human gut metagenome
Also listed under: 1 other name
Description: Bacterial large signal recognition particle RNA
Rfam family: Bacterial large signal recognition particle RNA
About the family: The signal recognition particle (SRP) is a universally conserved ribonucleoprotein involved in the co-translational targeting of proteins to membranes. Archaeal SRP consists of a 7S RNA and homologues of the eukaryotic SRP19 and SRP54 proteins.
Source: RNAcentral
UACCAGCCGGGGGAGUAGCGGAGCCCUGAACCUGAAAUCCGCUGUAGCAGGGGUGGAUUCCUCUUCUGAGGGACGAUCCUUGGCGAAUGAAGCGUUGUCGCUGUGUUGAGAAAUGGGUCUUGCGCAAUCGGAAGCUGUGAAUCAUGUCAGGUGGGGAACCAAGCAGCAUUAAGCAGUCAACCCGAUGUGCCGCGAGGAAGCCUGUUUUGAGCAGAGGCAACGAAGCUCGCGCGGAG